UAUUAUUGACUAAAAUAGAUCCCAAUUUUUGUCAAGGGACUAAUAAAUUGAGUUGCGUUGAGCUCAAUAAAUUAAGUGAGACUGCAGUCCAUAAUAAACCUAACAGCAAGAGAUCCAACAAUAUACCUAAAGUUCAGAUGGGCUGAGUUGGGUCGAAACCUGUAAGCGCUAUGGUUGAAUCCUUCAGUGCGAUGGGUUCGAACUUACUAUCAGUACGUACUUUUGUGAUAAUUAGUAAGCGCUUAUAAUCUAUAGUCAUUACAGUCCUAUAUUGUCACGUUCCGAACCUCUUUGGAAAGCAUUUUCGAAAAAAUCCUUCCAUUUUCAAAACAGAUUCUUGUAGAAAAAGCGUAUAAUUUUAUUUUAAAAAAAAUUUUGUCCGAGACAAGCACAAACCCUCCACACCUACAGAAUAUUCUCUAUCCAUGCGGACAAAAUCUCCCCUAUAUAUGCACGGCGUAAGAGUAUAGAUAUACAACCACAAUCUAUCUGAAUAGCAAGGAUGUAUAAAUACUAACUAUACCAACUACUAAUAACUUCAAAAUCACAAUCAAGAAUUCAUAAACCACUAUAAUAGAAAAACCCAACAUCAAUAGCUAAAUCAAUCUACAUACUCUUAACAUGAUAAGUCACCCACAUUACACAACGACCCAAUUGUAAUAUCAAAUGCACUUACCAAUUUUCGAAAUCUGCCGAUUUUCAUACAAAC
Molecule: long non-coding RNA, 709 nt
Filed under: Ananas comosus (pineapple)
Lineage: Eukaryota; Viridiplantae; Streptophyta; Magnoliopsida; Poales; Bromeliaceae
Description: long non-coding RNA (ACOM_LNC021336)
Source: RNAcentral